AAAAUCUAGAAUUUAUUUACUUCAGACAUAGAAAACCAAAUUCCAUAGCACUUUCAUCUCAGAAAAGAAACUGACAAUUUUUAAAAUAAGUAAAAUUUAGGAUGUCUUAGAAGGUUAAAUAUCACUAUGAAAAAAAGUAGGAUGAUGAGCUGGAUCAGGACUGCUGGAAUGUAAAAUCUACAAGAGGAUGCAUUUUCUUUAAAUUGUAUUCCCAGGAUGUAGAAAAUUGCCUGGCAUAUAGUAGCCAUGCCUGUAGCUAUUUUGGGGUGCAUAAAUUAUAAAUUCAUGCAUUUAGCUUUUUCAUAUUAGAAGUGAGAUCUCUGGGGAAAAGACAACUCUCGUUUCCCAGACUAAAAUUAAUUCAGUAGCUGUAGCCUGGUCUCUACACGAAUAUCCAGUUUAGUGGGAAAAUUAGUCUUCCUGGAAUAGAGAAACUUUGUAAUUGGAUUGACUACUCUAUGAUCCCUAUUGUCAAAAGAAUAAUUAAAGUUUGCUUAUAUUUUAGAAAAUCAUAAAAAGUAGUUUUUAUUCCUUUGAGAACAUCAGCAUUUUGGAUGUUACUAAAACUAAACAUUAUAAACUUAACUGAAUGAUUGUAGCUUUGGAAGACAAGAAGCCAAGACACGGAAGCAAUCUAAAUGUCCAUCAACAGAUGAAUGAUAAUGAAAAUGUGCUCUCAUUCUCUCUCUCUAUGUGUAUAUAUAUACACACACAAUAUAUCACUACUCAGCCAUAAAAAAAAUGAAAUAAUGCCAAUUGUAGCAACAUGGAUGGAGGUAUAAAUUAUCAUACUAAAUGUAGUAAACUAGACAGAUAAAAAUGUACAUCAUAUGAUAGAGCUUAUAUGUGGUAUCUUAAAAAAUGAUGCAGAUGAACUGGUACACUAAACAGAAAUAAUACCUAUGGACAUAGGAAACAAAUUUAAGGUUACGAAAGGGGAAAGGUGGGAGAGAUAUGUAAGGAGUUUGGACAUACACACUGCUAUACAAAAAAUAGACAACUAACAAGGACCUAUUGUAUAGCACAUGGAACCUUACCCAAUAUUUUGUGAUUACACAUAAGGGAAAACAACCUAUACAUACAUACAUACACACACACACACACACACACACACACACAUAUAUAUAUAUAUAUAUUAUCAUACAUAUAGAACUGAAUCACUUUGUUAUGUACCUGAAACUAAAAAAAAAACAUUGUAAGACAACUAUAAUUCAAAUUAAUUAAUCGAUUUAAAAAUUGAAAAACUAAUUCCCAAGAAUAGAUCACCAUAAUAAAAUUUAAAGUAUAUGCAUACAUCAAAAAAUCUGCAAAAAUGCCAAAAAUAAUAAUAAUAAAGUAACACAUUAAAAAAAACAAAAUUUAAACACACACAUGCUCAUACACACAAAGCAGUUUGGUGCUUUGAGAAAACAAGUUGAAUGUGUGUUGUGGGUAAUGUCAAAUUUAGGGUUAUAGAGGAAUAAAUGCACAAGAGAUAUGACUAAAGGAAAAGAGAUUGAUACAAUAACAAGGAGUAUUUAAGAGAAAGUUAGAAAGUCCUAGAGAAAUGGGUGCUCAACACAGAACUUUUUAAGGCUUUUCUAACAAGGUCAGUGAGUGAAAGAACAUGUUUAGGUGAUUUUCACUUGGCUAAAAGGUUACUGCUUCUGGAAAGAAUCCCCAGAGCCAAUGUCAUGUCUCUGUUUCUCAGGCUGUAGAUGAAAGGGCUCAGCAUGGGGGUGACCACUGUGUACAUCAUGGAAGCAAUGAUGUCUUUGUCAUGGGACUGGCCUGAUGAGGAGGAAAAGUACAGGGCCAUAAUUGUCCCAUAGAAUAGAGACACCACAGACAGGUGGGAGCCACAGGUGGACAAGGCUUUGCAGAUCCCUUUAGUAGAGAGGACCCUGAGGGUGGAGAGGCCAAUGCAGCCAUAAGAGACCAGGAUGACACUCAUUAGAGAAAAAGAAAACCACAGGCCCUGCAGUGAAUACAACCAGCUCAUUGAGAGAGGCCUCUGAGCAGGACAGUUUAAGUAUGGCAGCAAGGUCACAGGAGAAGUGGGGGAAUAUGUUGUCAGCACAGGACAGUUGAGCCUGGAGGAGGGGUGGGUCAGGGAACUGGCACAAGAGAUGAACCAGGAUCCAUUCAAUGGUCAUAAACACAGCUCCUCCCUCAUGAUGAUGGUGUAGCAUAGAGGGUGACGUGUGUCCAUGUAGCUGUCACAGGCCAUCACUGCAAGAAUAAAGUUAUCAAUGCAAUCAAAAAUAUUAAAAAAAUAUGACUGUUUAACAUCCCUUGCAUAGGGAAUGGAUUGAUCCUGAGUCUGAAUGUUCAUCAGCAUUUUAGGGACAUGACAGAUGAAAAACAGAUGUCCAUGAGGGCUAAGUGGCUGAGGAAGAAGUAUAUGGAGUUGUAGAGGUGAGGGUCCAGCCUGAUGAGCAGGAUGAUGAGCAGGAUCCCCAGCACUGCGGUCAAGUACAUGCCCAGGAACAGGGAAAAGAACAAGCCUUGCUGCUCUGUCUAGAUGGGGAGCCCCAGGAGGAGGAAAUCAGACACGCUGUUCUGGUUCUCCCUCCUCAUGCUUUUCUCUCAUCUGGGAAUGAAGAGAAAUGGGAAAUGUCAGUAACUUAGAUGUAAUGAGUAUAGAAGUUACCACAUGGUCACAAGACUUCUUAGAGUAAACUUCUCAGUGUAGAGACAGAUCUCAUUGCACUGCACUCAUGCAUUGAUGCCAUGUCCAGUCUGGUGAGAGCAAUGCAGUGUGAUUUGUCUGAACAUUGACACAGUCACAUGGAGAAAGUACAUGACUUCAAUCAAGGGCUUCUGUGGAAAUCAGGAACAGCUCACUCUCUUUCUCACAGAAUUGAGACAUAGUAGGUAGAGGGUCAUAAGACAUAGCCCCUUCCAUGGCUCUACUGUCACAAUGUUUAUGUCUCUCUCACACACACACACCACACACACACCACUUAAAACAUUAUUGGGGAAAUUAAUGUACCAUGUACAAAAUAAAUGCUGAACCCCAAAACUAAUUUUUAUCAUUAUAAUGACUG
This 3029-nucleotide long non-coding RNA is filed under the name Sus scrofa (pig). RNAcentral's name for it is "lncRNA (ENSSSCG00000054240.1)". Lineage: Eukaryota; Metazoa; Chordata; Mammalia; Artiodactyla; Suidae. The record is from RNAcentral.